UACGGAGGGGGCUAGCGUUGUUCGGAAUUACUGGGCGUAAAGCGCACGUAGGCGGCUUUGUAAGUUAGAGGUGAAAGCCCGGAGCUCAACUCCGGAAUUGCCUUUAAGACUGCAUCGCUUGAAUCAUGGAGAGGUGAGUGGAAUUCCGAGUGUAGAGGUGAAAUUCGUAGAUAUUCGGAGGAACACCAGUGGCGAAGGCGGCUCACUGGCUCGGUACUGACGCUGAGGUGCGAAAGCGUGGGGAGCAAACAGG
Molecule: ribosomal RNA, 253 nt
Filed under: uncultured bacterium
Lineage: Bacteria
Description: partial 16S ribosomal RNA
Rfam family: Bacterial small subunit ribosomal RNA
Source: RNAcentral